RNAcentral lists this non-coding RNA (27 nucleotides) under Mus musculus (house mouse). Lineage: Eukaryota; Metazoa; Chordata; Mammalia; Rodentia; Muridae. The record is from RNAcentral.
UCAUCUGAUUGGUUAACUUGUCUCUCA